AGAGCGAACGCUGGCGGCAGGCUUAACACAUGCAAGUCGAGCGGGCGUAGCAAUACGUCAGCGGCAGACGGGUGAGUAACGCGUGGGAACGUACCUUUUGGUUCGGAACAACACAGGGAAACUUGUGCUAAUACCGGAUAAGCCCUUACGGGGAAAGAUUUAUCGCCGAAAGAUCGGCCCGCGUCUGAUUAGCUAGUUGGUGAGGUAACGGCUCACCAAGGCGACGAUCAGUAGCUGGUCUGAGAGGAUGAUCAGCCACAUUGGGACUGAGACACGGCCCAAACUCCUACGGGAGGCAGCAGUGGGGAAUAUUGGACAAUGGGCGCAAGCCUGAUCCAGCCAUGCCGCGUGAGUGAUGAAGGCCCUAGGGUUGUAAAGCUCUUUUGUGCGGGAAGAUAAUGACGGUACCGCAAGAAUAAGCCCCGGCUAACUUCGCGCCAGCAGCCGC
RNAcentral lists this ribosomal RNA (448 nucleotides) under uncultured bacterium. RNAcentral describes it as "SSU rRNA". It matches the Rfam family "Bacterial small subunit ribosomal RNA", at positions 26 to 518 of the family's 1533-position model. The record is from RNAcentral.